Molecule: ribosomal RNA, 618 nt
Filed under: uncultured bacterium
Lineage: Bacteria
Description: bacterial SSU rRNA
Rfam family: Bacterial small subunit ribosomal RNA
Source: RNAcentral
GAUGUCAAUUAGCUGUUGGGCAACUUGAUUGCUUAGUAGCGUAGCUAACGCGUGAAAUUGACCGCCUGGGGAGUACGGUCGCAAGAUUAAAACUCAAAGGAAUUGACGGGGACCCGCACAAGCGGUGGAUGAUGUGGAUUAAUUCGAUGCAACGCGAAGAACCUUACCUGGUCUUGACAUGUACGGAAUCUCUCAGAGACGGGAGAGUGCCUUCGGGAACCGUAACACAGGUGCUGCAUGGCUGUCGUCAGCUCGUGCCGUGAGAUGUUGGGUUAAGUCCCGCAACGAGCGCAACCCUUAUCAUUAGUUGCCAUCAUUUGGUUGGGCACUCUAAUGAGACUGCCGGUGACAAACCGGAGGAAGGUGGGGAUGACGUCAAGUCCUCAUGGCCCUUAUGACCAGGGCUUCACACGUCAUACAAUGGUCGGUACAGAGGGUCACCAAGCCGCGAGGUGGAGCCAGUCUCACAAAACCGAUCGUAGUCCGGAUUGCACUCUGCAACUCGAGUGCAUGAAGUCGGAAUCGCUAGUAAUCGCAGGUCAGCAUACUGCGGUGAAUACGUUCCCGGGUCUUGUACACACCGCCCGUCACACCAUGGGAGUGGGGGAUACCAGAAGU